GACGAACGCUGGCGGCGUGCUUAACACAUGCAAGUCGAACGGAAAGGCCCUGCUUGCAGGGUACUCGAGUGGCGAACGGGUGAGUAACACGUGGGUGAUCUGCCCUGCACUUCGGGAUAAGCCUGGGAAACUGGGUCUAAUACCGGAUAGGAGCCAUUUUUAGUGUGAUGGUUGGAAAGUUUUUUCGGUGUAGGAUGAGCUCGCGGCCUAUCAGCUUGUUGGUGGGGUAAUGGCCUACCAAGGCGGCGACGGGUAGCCGGCCUGAGAGGGUGGACGGCCACAUUGGGACUGAGAUACGGCCCAGACUCCUACGGGAGGCAGCAGUGGGGAAUAUUGCACAAUGGGCGCAAGCCUGAUGCAGCGACGCCGCGUGGGGGAUGACGGCCUUCGGGUUGUAAACUCCUUUCGCUAGGGACGAAGCUUUUGUGACGGUACCGAGAUAAGAAGCACCGGCUAACUAAGU
RNAcentral lists this ribosomal RNA (463 nucleotides) under uncultured bacterium. Its description in RNAcentral is "partial 16S ribosomal RNA". It matches the Rfam family "Bacterial small subunit ribosomal RNA", at positions 28 to 506 of the family's 1533-position model. The record is from RNAcentral.